Molecule: ribosomal RNA, 118 nt
Filed under: Escherichia coli
Lineage: Bacteria; Pseudomonadati; Pseudomonadota; Gammaproteobacteria; Enterobacterales; Enterobacteriaceae
Description: partial 23S ribosomal RNA
Source: RNAcentral
AAGGCGCNUGAGAGAACUCGGGUGAAGGAAACUAGGCAAAAUGGUGCGUAACUUCGGGAGACGGCACGCUGAUAUGUAGGUGAAGUCCCUUGCGGAUGGAGCUGAAAUCAGUCGAAGA